RNAcentral lists this unclassified non-coding RNA (391 nucleotides) under soil metagenome. Its description in RNAcentral is "partial contains 5.8S ribosomal RNA, internal transcribed spacer 2, and large subunit ribosomal RNA". The stretch from base 1 to 122 matches the Rfam family "5.8S ribosomal RNA", at positions 35 to 154 of the family's 154-position model. The record is from RNAcentral.
GAUGAAGAACGUAGCGAAAUGCGAUACUUGGUGUGAAUUGCAGAAUCCCGUGAACCAUCGAGUCUUUGAACGCAAGUUGCGCCCGAAGCCAUUAGGCCGAGGGCACGCCUGCCUGGGCGUCACACGUCGUUGCCCCCCCAUCUACUCCUUCGGGAUUGCGGGGGGCGGAUGAUGGCCUCUCGUGCGCCUCGUCGCGCGGUUGGCCUAAAUGCCAAGUCCUCGGCGACGCACGCCACGACAAUCGGUGGUUGCGAAACCUCGGUUGCCUGUCGUGUGCGGUCGUCGCGCAUCGAGGGCUCGAAAAAAUUGCCGGGCUUCGGCUCGACUUUCAACGCGACCCCAGGUCAGGCGGGGCUACCCGCUGAGUUUAAGCAUAUCAAUAAGCGGAGGA